Molecule: long non-coding RNA, 4132 nt
Organism: Rattus norvegicus (Norway rat)
Lineage: Eukaryota; Metazoa; Chordata; Mammalia; Rodentia; Muridae
Source: RefSeq, a predicted model, not a curated record
ACCCCCUCCCAGAAAGGGAAUUGUACAAGCCCAAGGCCCUCAACUAUAAAAAUAAAAAAUAAGUUUUUAGAUAUGUGGGACAAGCUGACCCAUCAUUUAGACGAAACAGACCAGAAAAGAAAACAAAAUGCAGAAACCAGACUAAAUUAUGGGCACUACUCCAUGGGCCACCUGACAGGAAAAAAAAACAGUCCCUGAGCCCCCGGAAGCCCUGACCACCAUGUACUUUUUGCUAACUCACUGUUAUGAUUAUAGCCAAAAUAAGUAACAUACACGUAUGCCUCAUUUACUCCACCAAUCACAUCCCUGUAACCAUGCAUCUGCUUCUGUAAGCCUGCUUCUGCUCCCCAAUGCCCUAUAAAAACCCGUCCCUGGUUCUGCUAGGCGCACCAGUCUUCCAAAUUGACUGGGACGCCCACAGAUACCUGUGUAUCCUGAUCAAUAAAAAUCCUCUUACAGAUUACAGCCGGUGGACUCGGACUGGUCAUUGGGGCUUGAAGAUCUCCCUCCUGAGGGAAGAUUCUCUCUGAGAGUCUUACAUAUGGGGGCUCGUCCGGGAUCGGAGAUCCUCUGCCUAGAGACCACCGACCACCCACCGGGAGGUCUUCUUCACCACUGAGGAAAGACGGAAUCCUACUAGAGGCCAGAAAGAAUGUUCCAGACAUGGAUGGAAGACCCUCACUCCUGACUGUUGACUUGAAUACCCCUGAAGGUAGGGAGUGCUCCAGGUCUGCCACCAGGCUCCAAGGGUGGGUCUCUGAGGGGCUGGAAAAUGCCCCACCAAUCUGGCUAAGAUAAGGAAAAGAUAUAAAGAGAGAAAGUUACAGAAAUUUAAAGGGUUAAGCUAAGUUGCUGAGAGUUAGUGUAAGUUACAGAGAAAGUAAAGUUGAAGUGUAGUUACAUAAGUGGACAGCAUCUAAUAGCUGUAGAGGAAGAUGCAGAAGAUAUGAGAGCGACUGAGGAAGAGAAAGAGGAAAGAAGGUAAAAAGAGCAGGAAGCUAAGAAAGAAAAGAGACAAAAAGAAGAAGUUGGAGAGCUAAAGAGGGAUAGAAGACAGGAGAGGAAUAUAUACUGGCCACAGUAAUUAGGGAACCUAGGAAGACAGUACCUGGCAACAGAAGAGAAUUCCUAGCUAAAGAUCAGUGUGCCUAUCGCAAGGAAAAAGGACAUUGGGUGAGGGACUGCCCCAGGAAGAACAAGAAGGGCCUCUCCAGCAACCCGGGAGGCAAGCCUCUUGGUUCUAGAGUGCUGGCUAUGCGCAAAGAUAGAAGGGAAGCCUGCCCAGUUGUUUUGUGAAUACGGGGGCCCAACACUCUGUGCUCCUACGCCCAAAUGGGCUAGUGUCCAGCAAAAGACCUUGAGUACAGGGAACUACCGACAACAAAUGAUACUCAUGGACUACCCGAAGAACGGUGGACCUUGGCGUGGGCCGGGUAUCCCACUUGUUCCUUGUGAUUCCAGACUGCCCCUACGAGUCUAAACCCUGCAACCCUGCUCCCGGACCCCGACCUAGACACCCCCCUUCAUGACUGUCAGCAGGAGCUCACUAAAGCACAGGAGUGGCAUAAAGAUCUGACUGACCAGCCACCAAAGGGGGUAGAUGCCAUCUGGCUCAUAGAUGGGAGCAGCUUCUUAGAGAAGAAAAAAGAUGGGCUGGGGCAACAGUGGUUGAUGGAAACAGAGUCAUAUGGGUUCAGGCCCUACCAGAAGGCACCACUACUCAGAGAGUAGAGCUUGCUCCCCUCACCAAAGCCCUUGAGCCGAGAAGGAGACUUAACAUCUAUGUAGACAGCACGUAUGCCUUUGCUACAGCCCAUCAGCAGAGGGGCCUGCUGACAUCUGAGGGCAAGAAAAAAAAAAAAAAAAAAAAAAAGAAGGGCCCUCCAUGACCCAGCCAGGCCGAAGAAGAGACUCUGGUACACCUCAACGAGAAAGAAGAUCCUGCUACAAUUUUUACAGGCAGAGGCCAUGGUAAAACAAAUACAUCAAUGGACUCACUUAGGGGUAAGCAAACUCAUCCAGACGUUUUCAAAAACUAAAUAUUAUGUUACAGGUCUCAAGUAUCUCGUGGAACAGAUAGUACAGUGAUGUAUACCAUGCCAAAAGGUAACUGUUUUCAGAAAAGUUGACUGUGGUAGGAGGCUCCGUGGGGAACGGCCUGGAUACUACUGAGAAGUGGACUUCACAGAGAUAAAACCAGGAAAAUAUGGUUAUAAAUGUCUCCCAGUGUUUAUAGAUAUCUUUUCAGGAAUAGGUAGAAGCUUUCCCCACCAAGCAAGAGACGGCCUCAAUAGUCAUCAAGAAGAUACUAGAAGAAAUCUUCUCCUGAUUUGGAAUGCCCAAGGUAAUCUGGUCAGACAACAGCCCUACUUUCGUUGCCAAGGUAAGCCAGGGUGUGGCCAAGUAUUUAGAGGUUGAUUGAAAAUUACGUUAUAUUUACAGACCUCAAAGUUCAGGACAGAUAGAGAGAAUAAAUAAGACUCUAAAAGAAACCCUGACCAAAUUGACCAUGGAGACUGGCGUAGACUGGGUGACACUCCUUCCCUCUUGCUCUCUUCAGAGCAUAUGGGGCCUCAGCUCCCCUGACUGUAUUAGAUGAUGUUACUGAACCAACAUGUCAUAGUAAUAAUGAUUUAUAUGCCAGGCUAAAAGACCUACAGGUGAUACAGAAAGAAAUCUGCUCACAGCUGGCAGCAGCCUAUGCCCCGGGGACCCCUGAGACAUCUCAUCAGUUCCAGGUUAGAGACUACAGCUACAUACAAUGACACGGAGCCCAGACACUCGAGCCUCGCUGGAAAGGACCGUACCUGGUGCUGCUGACCACCCUGACAGCCGUCAAUUCUCAGCCCUCACCAGCAGCGUACUAGCUGUUGGGGCUGAGAGCUGGGACCUAGAGGGACACUCAGAUCUUCAAAAAGCUCCCUAGACUUAAGUGAUUGGGAGGUUGCUAUAAUGCUCACUUGAGGAGUGUGUUUUAGAAACAAGAAUUUCAUGUUUGCCUGUUUGCCCUGGGUUCCCUCGGAAUAGGUGUAAGGAUAGGCUUGAUUUUUAUUGCAAAUGAUGUAACAUUACAUAUGUUAGUACUCCUAACACUUCUUGGGACUGUGCCUCAGGGAUCACAAUCUAUAUAAGUUUAGAAGUUCUAAAAGACCUUGGUGUAUAGGUUCAGAUAGUGUCCAGGUUAGAAUCCUGAUGCUAAAGACUUAAUAAGACACAAAAGAGAGUUGAGAAUUAUUUAAGGCUAUCUAGGUGCUACAAGGGCAGCACAAGGACAUCUGCUGUUGCCCUACAAUGCAAGGCUUAUAGAGAAUUCAAAACUGCCAUUGACUCAGAUAUGAAAAGAUUAAAAAAAGACUUUUUAGCUGGCCUCCAAGAACACCUAACCUCCCUCUCAGAGGUAGUCCUUCAAAAUAAGAGAAGAUUAGACCUGAUAUUCCUUAAAGAAAGAGUCUGUGUGCUACACUAAAAGAAGAAUGUUGUUUCUAUACAGAUCAGACAAUAAUAAUAAGAGAUAUAGUCUUUCAGUCAUUCAAACUUUUGUGCUGAGACAACAGUAUCAGAUGGUAAAACAACAACAACAACAACAAAAAAAAACAGAGGUACCUUAACCAAGUUGAGUGGAAGAUUCCACUCAAGGACAAAAAAAGAAAAUGGGGGAAUGAAAGACCCCCUCCCCGAAAGGGAAUUGUACAAGCCCAAGGCCCUCAACUAUAAAAAUAAAAAAUAAGUUUUUAGAUAUGUGGGACAAGCUGACCCAUCAUUUAGACGAAACAGACCAGAAAAGAAAACAAAAUGCAGAAACCAGACUAAAUUAUGGGCACUACUCCAUGGGCCACCUGACAGGAAAAAAAAAAAAAGUCCCUGAGCCCCCGGAAGCCCUGACCACCAUGUACUUUUUGCUAACUCACUGUUAUGAUUAUAGCCAAAAUAAGUAACAUACACGUAUGCCUCAUUUACUCCACCAAUCACAUCCCUGUAACCAUGCAUCUGCUUCUGUAAGCCUGCUUCUGCUCCCCAAUGCCCUAUAAAAACCCGUCCCUGGUUCUGCUAGGCGCGCCAGUCUUCCAAAUUGACUGGGACGUCAACAGAUACCUGUGUAUCCUGAUCAAUAAAAAUCCUCUUACAGAUUACA